Molecule: long non-coding RNA, 9445 nt
Filed under: Lactuca sativa (garden lettuce)
Lineage: Eukaryota; Viridiplantae; Streptophyta; Magnoliopsida; Asterales; Asteraceae
Description: long non-coding RNA (LSAT_LNC004314)
Source: RNAcentral
ACUCUUAAGUAACAACUCAAAAUUCUGAUCACCGAACCAUGCGAUCGAAAUCCAUCUUCGCGAUCAGAAUCAGCAUGUACUUCCUUUAAGUUUCUUCACUUUUUCUUUGAUUCUUAAAAUAUCAACAUGUGACCUCGUCACAUUUGUCACACCCCGAAACCGAAGGCGGAAACGUCUCGGGGCGGAGGUGACUUCAUGUGAAUCAUAACCAAUGUACGUAGUAAGCGAAGUAAAACACAAAACAUUACAUUACAUAGAUUUCAUUACAUCAGUUGAAAAGUAAAGUAGUACAAGCUUCAUAGAUAUAUAGUUUAAACAAAAGAAAGACGAUUCUUCUACGCACUCCGUCUUCACCAAAAGAGAUCGUCGGGUACCUGUCUAAAGUGGACCUGAGAAUACAAGCGGUUUGAAAAUCAGCAUAAAGCUGGUGAGUUCAUAAGCGGUUAUUUUAUGAAAAGAACGAGUUCCUCUAGUUUCCUGAAAAAGUGGUUAACCAAUAAAAUCCCAUAUUUUGUUAAGAGUUAAAUACCAAAUCCAAAUUGUAAUGUAAAAGAUGUACAAUAAAAAAAAAUGAUUGUUCAAAUGAUUUUGUAAAGUAUAUUUAUUUAACUUAUACCACUUUUCUGGUUACAAACUACUGUUACUCAGGAAAAUCCUAUAUUUUCCUAUGUGUGAAAGUGUGAGCUAUUACUGAUUUCGUGUGAGCUAACUGUUACUGAUUCCGAUUAUGUUCAUUAUUAUCCAUAGGAAAACCCCAUGUUUUCCUGAUUGUGUGUGUGUGCAAUUACCAAUUCUAAGUGUGCUAAUUGUUACCAGUUCUGAUUAUGUUCAUUGUUAUCCAUAGGAAAACCCCAUGUUUUCCUGAAUGUGUGUAUGUGUGUGCCUGACACCCUUGAACGUACAUUAGCUUUACUACGCACAUAAAGCUAGUAAUUGAAUAGAAAGCGUUAAUAAUCUAGAUUGCGAGUCCUUAACCAUAUUCAGACUAGAUAUGACUCGAGUCGUGGUCAGUAUCCUUUUUAUGACUUUUGUCACCCUUAAACCUUUCGGUUCGGCUGUAGCUAGCAGCCAUGUGGGAAUUGUCAGUCCCGUAUAGAUCUAUACACUCAAGUCACGCUCUCCUACGAUCGGAGAUUCUGGUUACAGGGGUAGUCCUCCAUUCUCAAGCCACGGGACGUGUUACAGAGGAUGUGUCUCCAAUCUUUAAGAUCACUCUUUACUCUUCGACUAGGAAAGUAGUAUCUACGACUAACUAAGUUCUAACAUACCUGUCCUUUACACUUGGGCCCAGGUGUUAUUAUUAAGGACAUUACAAAAGUUCUACGUUUUCUAAUGACGACUAUCCAUUUACACUCGAGCCGAGGUGCAUUAUUAAAGACAUUACAAUGUUCUAUAUUAUCAAAUGACUGUUGUCCUUUACACUCGAGCCUAGGUGUAUUAUUAAUGACACACCGAAGUUUUAUGUUUUCUUUAUGGUGUUUGACUUUUAUACUCAUGCCUAUGGUAUUUUAUUACAGACUUUACAGUGUUUUAUGUUUUCUAUCAAUAUAAGUAUCAACAAUCAAAUGUGAAGUAUACAAUAUGACAGUAUAUAAUAAGAAUUGAAAAUCGGUUUUUUAACAAAUAACUCUGCAAGUUAAAACAGUUUGUUAAAAGGGUUUUCAAUCCUUAAAAAUGUACAAGUAUGAAACCAUUUAACUAAAAUCAUAAGUUUAAGUACAAGAUAUUCUUGUACUCUUGCUUGUAUUCCCCCCCUGAAAACAUUGAAGAACCAUUGAAAAAGGGUAGGGGUAUGAACUCACCGGACGCGGAAAUGUGUCGAAUGGGAUGCUAAAAGUUGAACCGAGGCUUGAAUACGAGCGAGGUUCCUAUGUAAUAUUAAAUAAUACACAAUAUAUAUCUAAUUAGAUUUAAAUAACUAAUUAGAUACACUUGAACAUUCUAAGACGUGAAAACACUCCAAAAUGAGCGUUUGAAGUGACCCGGGUGGCGUUUCAAGACAUGAAUGGCUAGGAUAUACAGUUUACUCUCCAAGGGUAGACUCUUAGGGAGUGUUUACGGCCUAAACACCACAUCCCCAUGAGUUUACGGCCGUAAAAUCAUGGGAGGUGUUUUUAUGAGCUAAAAGGCCUAAAAUCAAUUAAGAGGUGUUGCUAGGUUUGGUUUUUGGACAUUUGAAAGGGAUUAAAUCAUUAUAUGAGUUAAUAGAAGAGUUUAGGGCUGUAAACUAAGAGUUUACGGCCAUAAACUCUCACCCACAUCCAACUUAAUUACUUUGAAGGCCAAGGAUUAAUCACAAGUGAUUCAACUAAUUUUUACAAGGCUUAGGGUGAGUUUAUGGCUUCAAAUGGCAUCCAUCUAGGAGUUUACGGCCCUGGAGCAUAUGCUCUGGCCGUAAACUCUCAAUUAGAGAGUUUAUGAUAUGUUUAAGUCCCCUAAAUGAUUUUUGGUUGGUUCCAUAAUUUAUUCCAAAGCCUAAGGGGUGUGUAAGUUGCAUUUUAACACCCAAAAGAGGAGUUUACCACCCAUUUAUAUGAGUUUAUGGCCCAAGCUUGUUCUUGAGCAGUAAACUCUUGUUUACUCCUCAAAAAUGACAUUCAAGGUGUUCCAAGUCCAUUCCAAUAAUUCCUUUAGCCAUAUCUAAGCUCCUAUGGUGAUUUGGAAGGGUUUUAAGGCUUAAAAACCCCAAUUACAUGUGUUCACGGCCUAAGGCUGAUCCAGGGCCGUAAACACAUGUUUAUGGUCCUAUCACAUGAUUUAAACACGAAAUUGAAAGCUAAGGAUGUUAUACUAGGAGCUAGGAUGCUUACCUUGGUGUUUUAAGGCUUGAAAUGGUUGAUUUUUGGCUUAACAAGAUGGAUUUGAGGAGAGAGGUUAGAGAGAGUGAAAAAGCUUCAAAUGAGGCAGAAUCCACUUUAAAUAUGGUUUUACUCGGAUACACGGUGGAAUUUUACCCGAUACCGACGGUAACCGAUGCUUUGGGUCGCACCCGAUUAAGUUGUCGUUACUCGAUAUGGUCGAAACUAUAAUUUUUCAAAUUACUAGUUCGGGACGUUUUCACAUGUUUCCAACAUGUUUGGAUACUUACCAAGUCAAAAUAAAGGUUUUGACUUAAUUGACCUAGUUCAGGACGAAAUCGGAACAAUUCGCUUAAGACGAGUUUUGACGGAACGGUUACGGCGAGGAAGCAAAGUUUCGGGUUGUUACAUUAUCCCCCCGUUAGAGGGAAUUUCAUCCCGAAAUUCAAGAAUUUUGAUACAAAAUUAUGGACAAAAGGUGUGGAUGUGUCUGCUAUAUCGGGUCUUCGCGCUCCCAUGUGUAUUCAGGUUCUCGCUUGGAACCUUCACGGGAUGUGGCUCGAUUUCAUACGCUUGAUUACUUGGUCUAUGAUCUUAGUUUGCUCGUCCAGAGAGUUUGGGUAUAUCAAGGUUCUUGGUCACACUAGAAUGGAUUUGUAUGGUUUUAUCAGGCAGGUAUUCAUUAAGGAUAGAGGUGCAAGGUACAGGAUGAACGCUGCUAAUUACUGAAGGUAUUUCGGAGCUGAAGGCUGAGGAAUCAAUCCGAAUGGGGAUCUUAAAGGGUCUAAUGUACCACAUACUAAGUUUUCCAUGCCUUAUCAAGUUUACUAUGGGUGUCUUUGGUGCCGAACAAUUCUCUAUUGCUUCGAUCUUAGGAGGAUCUACGCGUAUGUCUUCAUUGACUACUACAUGACCGGAGGAAAAUGGUUUGACCGAAGGGUAUCAAUGCGAACUCUCAGUGAUCAUAUCUAAUCCUGAAUGCUGUCUUUAAAACAUGAACUCGUUGUUGGUGGUGUCUCGACUUGAGGCAUAUCUUCGAGGAGUAGUUGGCUCCCUGAAGUUAUCGAAGAAAUCGUCUAUUCAGAAAAGAGAAUAUCGGUUUUGACGGUCAACUCAUUAAGCCGAUUAGAUAACUCCUGCAUUUUUGCUGGAGCAAAGCGAUACGGAGGUUUGGCUACGGGGAUAGAUCUAGGGAUUAAGUUGAUACGAGACUCAACUUGGCGUUCGGUAAGAAUUCUCGGGAUCUAUUCGGAAAGAUAUCAGGAAUAUUAUAGUCCUCGGAGACGUUCUUGGGGUCUUUAACUCCUUGUUUCUCGCUGAUCAUAUGGACUAGGAAUACUUGACACUUCUUUCGCAGGAACUUUCGAGUUUUGAUGCAUUGAACGAAGCGAAGAUUUGGGCUAAACUCGCCACCAUGAAUUAUGAUGGUCUGAUCAGAAUGAAGAUUGAGACGAACAACUUUCUAUAACGAGGUGUAUCAACACAGUCGGGGCUCAAUCGAUACAUAAUAAGGAUAACAUCAAAGCUCUUACUAAAACUGACAUCGGGUUAAUGAGAAAUGAAUGAUUACUCAAGAUAAGGACACAACGUAGAGAUCAGUCGUUUAUACACUCAUUCUCACUGGCAACUAUCUUGACGGUAAUUGUUUAUGGUUGUCAAACGAGGACUAUGUUUUACAAGAUAAUUGAAUGAAUGACUAAUUUAACUUUCUUGACACUAUAUUCGAAGAGGAUGUGAGCAUAAGGAUAGUUGGUAAGAAAUAUACCCGUGAUGUUAGUGGGAUUGGCGGCUGCAUCCUCCUGCUUCAAAGCUAAGACCAUUCCGACGUUGUUGACAUUGUUGGGGGUUGUUGCUUUUGGGCAGUUUCGCUUGAAAUGCCCAAUUUCUCCACAACUAUAGCAGACCUGUUCGAUACUUGAUUCAGAAGUUUGUUCGAGGUGUUGGACUAGUGUUCUGCAGCUUCUAGCAAGAUGACCUUUCUUGCCACAGCGUUUGCAAAUCAUCUUGCGACAUGGGCCAGGAAUAUAAUGAUGAUAACUACACCUGCUGCACCAAGGGAGAUUACCAGAAUACCCAGUGACAGGUGCUUGAGCCUUAGACGAAAUAACAGGAGUAGUGGUAGCUUGAACUAUAGGAACAACGGCAGGAUUGGUAGCAACUUGGACUGCCACAUAUUUGAGUCUCUUGGAGGGUCCUUGGGAACUCUGACCCUUUCGCUUUUUCCAGAUAACCUUAUUACUCUCAUCAAACUCAUGCUGAUGCUCCUGAACAUUUUCACGGUUUUGGGGGUAGGGGUUAUAUCCUGGACCAAUGGACUUCUUAGGGUUCAAGAUCGUCAUUGCAGCCGUCACUGCAGCAGAAACAGCCAGUUGGAACAUCACAGGAUCGAAGCGAGAUGAGGGUGGAGACGAAGGGUCGUUGUUCUUCGAGCUGGGUUCUUUCCUUGAAGAAAUCUCGAUCUAAAAGUUUAGGAAAAGAGGAUAAUAAGUCCUCUAAAUUGAAUCAAGAGAUAUGAAACAAAGGAUAUCUCUUUAUGACAGACAUAUAAUUCUAUUAGGCGAAUAAGCAAGAAUGAAUUAUCAAAGCAGACAUUUAUCGCUAACGGAAUGAUCGAGGGGCAAUGCUUGAAUGAGGAAUUUCUAUUACAAGGUUGGAUCCAGAAAUACUCCCAUAGUAUUUCACGAUUCUCCGCAACGACGAUUCAUUGUUUGUGGUAUUUGGGUAAGUUUUAGGUAUCCCGCAUUCCACAGUCACUACCAAGCACAUGUUGGCCGUGUCUCGAAUGAAUAUAGUUGAUCAGGCUAUAUUGAUCCUAGACACGACUACGUAACCGCCUAGGUUUAACUGCAGCAUACAACACCCAUUUACUUAUGUUUUGUUCUACUAAUAGAUAUGAUUCUCGACGGCUAGGAUACUUGUAUACUUUUUGAAAAUAUUUAUAUUUGAGAUAUACUUUUAGUUCAGAGCACUUAGGCCCCUUAAUGUUUAUAGUCUUAUACCAUGUAAAGUUUGGUAUACUUAGUUCACUAUAAACAAUGGCUCUGAUACCAAUCUGUCACACCCCGAAACCGAAGGCGGAAACGUCUCAGGGCGGAGGUGACUUCAUGUGAAUCAUAACCAAUGUACAUAGUAAGCGAAGUAAAACACAAAACAUUACAUUACAUAGAUUUCAUUACAUCAGUUGAAAAGUAAAGUAGUACAAGCUUCAUAGAUAUAUAGUUUAAACAAAAGAAAGACGAUUCUACUACGCACUCCGUCUUCACCAAAAGAGAUCGUCGGGUACCUGUCUAAAAUGGACCUGAGAAUACAAGCGGUUUGAAAAUCAGCAUAAAGCUAGUGAGUUCAUAAGCGGUUAUUUUAUGAAAAGAAUGAGUUCCUCUAGUUUCCUGAAAAAGUGGUUAACCAAGAAAAUCCCAUAUUUUCUUAAGAGUUAAAAACCAAAUCCAAAUUGUAAUGUAAAAGAUGUACAAUAAAAAAAUGAUUGUUCAAAUGAUUUUGUAAAGUAUAUUUAUUUAACUUAUAACACUUUUCUGGUUACAAACUACUGUUACUGAUUCUGUGUGAGCUAACUGUUACUGAUUCCGAUUAUGUUCACUAUUAUCCAUAGGAAAACCCCAUGUUUUCCUGAAUGUGUGUGUGUGUGUGCAAUUACCAAUUCUAAGUGUGCUAAUUGUUACCAGUUCUGAUUAUGUUCAUUGUUAUCCAUAGGAAAACCCCAUGUUUUCCUGAAUGUGUGUAUGUGUGUGCCUGACACCCUUGAACGUACAUUAGCUUUACUACGCACAUAAAGCUAGUAAAUGAAUCUAAAGCGUUAAUAAUCUAGAUUGCGAGUCCUUAACCAUACUCAUACUAGAUAUGACUCGAGUCGUGGUCAGUAUCCUUUUUAUGACUUUUGUCACCCUUAAACCUUUCGGUUCGGCUGUAGCUAGCAGCCAGGUGCGGAAUUGUCAGUCUCGUAUAGAUCUAUACACUCAAGUCACGCUCUCCUACGAUCGGAGAUUAUGGUUACAGGGGUAGUCCUCCACUCUCGAGCCACGGGUCGUGUUACAGAGGACGUGUCUCCAAUCUUUAAGAUCAUUCUUUACUCUUCGACUAGGAAAGUAGUAUCUACGACUAACUAAGUUCUAACAUACCUGUCCUUUACACUCGGGCCUAGGUGUUAUUAUUAAGGACAUUACAAAAGUUCUACGUUUUCUAUCAAUAUAAGUAUGAACAAUCAAAUGUGAAGUAUACAAUAUGACAGUAUAUAAUAAGAAUUGAAAAUCAGUUUUUAAACAAAUAACUCUGCAAGUUAAAACAGUUUGUUAAAAGGGUUUUCAAUCCUUAAAAAUGUACAAGUAUGAAACAAUUUAACUAAAAUCGUAAUUUUAAGUACAAGAUAUUCUUGUACUCUUGCUUCUAUUCCCCCCCUGAAAACAUUGAAGAACCAUUGAAAAAGGGUAGGGGUAUGAACUCACCGGACGCGGAAAUGUGUCGAAUGGGAUGCUAAAAGUUGAACCGAGGCUUGAAUACGAGUAAGGUUCCUAUGUAAUAUUAAAUAAUACACAAUAUAUAUAUAUAUCUAAUUAGAUUUAAAUAACUAAUUAGAUACACUUGAACAUUCUAAGACGUGAAAACACUCCAAAAUGAGCGUUUGAAGUGACCCGGGUGGCAUUAGAUCGGAAGAGCGGUUCAGNUGAAUGGCUAGGAUAUAGAGUUUACUCUCCAAGGGUAGACUCUUAGGGAGUGUUUACGGCCUAAACACCACAUCCCCAUGAGUUUACGGCCGUAAACUCAUGGUGGGUGUUUUUAUGAUCUAAAAGGCCUAAAAUCAAUUAAGAGGUAUUGCUAGGUUUGGUUUUUGGACAUUUGAAAGGGAUUAAAUCAUUAUAUGAGUUAAUAGAAGAGUUUAGGGCUGUAAACUAAGAGUUUACGGCUGGAAAAUCUCACCCACAUCCAACUUAAUUACUUUGAAGGCCAAGGAUUAAUCACAAGUGAUUCAACUAAUUUUUACAAGGCUUAGGGUGAGUUUAAGGCUUCAAAUGGCAUCCAUCUAGGAGUUUACAGCCCUGGAGCAUAUGCUCUGGCCUUAAAAUCUCAAUUAGAGAGUUUAUGAUAUGUUUAAGUCCCCUAAAUGAUUUUUGGUUGGUUCCAUAAUUUAUUCCAAAGCCUAAGGGGUGUGUAAGUUGCAUUUUAACACCCAAAAGAGGAGUUUACCACCCAUUUAUAUGAGUUUACGGCCCAAGCUUGUUAUUGGGCAGUAAACUCUUGUUUACUCCUCAAAAAUGACAUUCAAGGUGUUCCAAGUCCAUUCCAAUAAUUCCUUUAGCCAUAUCUAAGCUCCUAUGGUGAUUUGGAAGGGUUUUAAGGCUUAAAAACCCCAAUUACAUGUGUUCACGGCCUAAGGCUGAUCCAGGACUGUAAACACAUGUUUAUGGUCCUAUCACAUGAUUUAAACACGAAAUUGAAAGUUAAGGAUGUUAUACUAGGAGCAAGGAUGCUUACCUUGGUGUUUUAAGGCUUGAAAUGGUUGAUUUUUUGCUUAACAAGAUGGAUUUGAGGAGAGAGGUUAGAGAGAGAGUGAAAAAGCUUCAAAUGAGGCAUAAUCCACUUUAAAAAUGGUUUGACUCGGAUACACGGUGGAAUUUUACCCGAUACGGACGUUAACCGAUGCUUUGGGUCGCACCCGAUUAAGUUGUCGUUAGUCGAUAUGGUCGAAACUAUAAUUUUUCAAAUUACUAGUUCGGGACGUUUUCACAUGUUUCCAACAUGUUUGGAUACUUACCAAGUCAAAAUAAAGGUUUUGACUUAAUUGACCUAGUUCAAGACGAAAUCGGAACAAUUCGCUUAAGACGAGUUUUGACGGAAGGGUUACGGCGAGGAAGCAAAGUUUCGGGUUGUUACAACAUUAUGCAAUAAGAAUCUCAGAAUAGAAACUUAAUAGAGUUAGACAAUGGACUUUACCUGAAGUAGAGUCAAACCUAUUGACUUUACCAUCCUUAAGACGUUUAAGGUAAAUUUAGCAGCUUCGCAACCAAUGUCUUUCCUUUGGCAACAGAAUCUUAUGGACUCUUUGGAAAUGGUACAUGGGACUAUCACAGACUUAACCUUUCUCUUUACCAUUUGGUCAACCGAGUUGACUAUGGCCGAUCCCUUUCCAUUGGGAAGAGAAAGUUUUUCCUGGACCUCCAAUGUCACCAUUUUCAAUGUCCAAAUAGGUUUGGAAAGUAGAUCUUCCAAUCCAAUUUGCUUUACUAAUGCUCCAAAUCACUGCUGAUUUAGCAUCAUCAAGCAAAUAGGUAAGAUCAUUAAGGGUCUUGUCGCGACCUGUCAUCAGGGAGUGACUGAAGAACCAAGUCAGCAGCCAGCUACCUCGAGACUUCGACACCCGACUCUCCCGACUUGUCAAUAUGUGGCUUAAUCCCCAAGAUCUAAGCACAUAUAGACUUUGCUUGCCAAUAGGGAUUGAGUGACUUAGAACUUAUCAAGUCUUAAAACUUGUGGGAUAGGGAGAUUUAUUGGAGGAGGUGGAUGAAGUGAAGUAUGAUUUCUAGUCCCACAAAUUCCCAGCAAAGGGAUUGAUCUUUCACCUUGAUUGCCAUUUGGGAUAUCAUCUUCAUUAGGAAGCUUGUUCCUAAAGAUUUCGGAAGACCAUAGCUGUCUAAACU